Non-coding RNA from Ictidomys tridecemlineatus (thirteen-lined ground squirrel), 1153 nucleotides. The record is from RefSeq and is a predicted model, not a curated record. Lineage: Eukaryota; Metazoa; Chordata; Mammalia; Rodentia; Sciuridae.
GGCUUUGAACUCAAGAUUCUCCUGCCUCAGCCUCCUGAGCCAAGCAGCUGGGAUUACAGGCUGCAAAACAGGCCAAGGAAGCUGUUGAUGAAAUGAAUGACCACCAGGAGAAGCUGGAAGAGACUGAUGCACAGAAGUGUGGAGAAGAAGGACACGUGCCAAACAACAGCUUUAGAGGGCUCCCGACAGACAGAGUUCCAGAGAGAAUGGUCAUAUAAAUAAUUCCUACACCAAAAAAUAAAAAUAAAGGGUCAGGAGUAGGGGAAUAAGUAUAUCUAAAAAAGCAAUCCCAAUAGAAAUCUAAGACCUCGCCUGGCUCAGGUCACAGGAUUGGAUUUGCUAAGGUGACUUUUACUACUGCACUUAAAUUUCUGAGUAUCAGAGUAAGGAGAUGCUAGAAUGUGUGAACAAAAUGAGGUUUUGUUUGUUUGUUUACCAGGGAUUGAACCAAGGGGUACUUAGUCACUGAGCCACAUUCCAGCCAUUUUUUAUAUUUUAUUUAAAGACAAGUUCUUGUUGAGUUGCUUAGGGCCCUGCUAAAUUUCUGAGGCUAGCUUUUAACUUGUGAUUCUCCUGCCUCAGCCUCUCAAGCUGCUGUGAUUACAGGCAUGCACCACCAUGCCCAAUCAAAACUGCGUUUGUAACAUAGUCCAUUCCAUCUCUGUGUUAUUCUCCCCCCCCUCUCCCCAACCAACCCUCCCUCUGUCUCUCUCUCUCUCUGAAAAGACUUCAAAUCCACAACUCUAUUUACCUGUUAUGCAUGUCUUUGAAUGGGUAGCCAUAUUUCCAAGCUUGUGUCUGAUUGAAGAAUGAGACGUCAAACAUGCAAAAAGGACCAUCUUUCAGUGCUACUCCAGAAGUGAUAAAGCAAAUCAAGGCUCCAAGCAAAGCCAGGCCACUUGAAAACAGAGCAGUGAGCAACUGUAGAAGGAGGGAGCAAAUAGAGUCGACACAGCAACAUGGUUAGGUGGUUUUAGGGGUGAACUGGUGAACUGGACAAGUCUAACUUAUCUGGUGUUUGGUCUUUCUCCCAUCCUAUCACAGGGGGAUAAUUCUACCCAUGACACCUCUUUAGAAGCAUGACCAAGAUGAAGUGGAUGGUGAGGGGUCCCUGGGUAGAGCUAGGAAGAGAGAGGGGAGAAAGGCCCCCCCC